CUAACCAGUCUGCUAUUCCAUCUCCACUUACCAGUCUGCUAUUCCAUCUCCUCUAACCAGUCCGCUAUUCCAUCUCCUCUAACCAGUCUGCUAUUCCAUCUCCUCUAUACCCCCCCUGCUCUCUCUCUCCCCAUGACAACCCUCAACCGGAGUGAUGUCUGCUCUAUUCAUGGUAUUUCUAUCUGGCUACUGAACCAGGCCCCGUUAAGGCACUCUAACGGUGUGUGGAUUUAGCCUGGUCCCAGAUCCGUUUGGGCUGUCUUGUCAACUCCUAUGGUCAUUACCUAGCCUGGUCCCAGAUCUGUUUGUGCUUUUCUUCAUAACCAACUAGAACGGUUAAUGACCAUAGGAGUUGACAAGACAGCCCUAACAGAUCUGGGACCAGGCUAGGUAAUGACAAGACAGCCCAAACAGAUCUGGGACCAGGCUAGUGUUGCUUUGGAAACGCUGUGAUCAUAUUAACUGUGAAGUUAGCCCAUUGUUACGUCCUUAUGUCUGUUUUUACUUGAAGCAAGGAUACAUCCCAAAUGGCACCCUAUUCCCUAUGGGCCCUGUUUAAACAGUGCACUAUAAAGGGAAUGGCUCCCUAUGGGCCCUGUUUAAACAGUGCACUAUAAAGGGAAUGGCUCCCUAUGGGCCCUGUUUAAACAGUGCAUUAUAAAGGGAAUGGCUCCCUAUGGGCCCUGUUUAAACAGUGCAUUAUAAAGGGAAUGGCUCCCUAUGGGCCCUGUUUAAACAGUGCAUUAUAAAGGGAAUGGCUCCCUAUGGGCCCUGUUUAAACAGUGCAUUAUAAAGGGAAUUGCUCCCUAUGGGCCCUGUUUAAACAGUGCACUAUAAAGGGAAUGGCUCCCUAUGGGCCCUGUUUAAACAGUGCACUAUAAAGGGAAUGGCUCCCUAUGGGCCCUGUUUAAACAGUGCACUAUAAAGGGAAUGGCUCCCUAUGGGCCCUGUUUAAACAGUGCACUAUAAAGGGAAUGGCUCCCUAUGGGCCCUGUUUAAACAGUGCAUUAUAAAGGGAAUGGCUCCCUAUGGGCCCUGUUUAAACAGUGCACUAUAAAGGGAAGCGGGUGCCAUUUGAGAUGGAACCCAAGACGACGUGUAAAGUUGAAGCAUGAUCUGAUUAGUGUGAACUAAGUAUAAAGCUCUUUGUGAUUGUAUUUCCUCAUUAGAAGUGCAUUUUUUAAUAUAAACUUUGUUUUUCCCCCAUCUCGAAGAAUGUGAUGUUUUCAGUGGCAUUAAGUUUGUUAUAAAUGGGACAAAUAUACAAGGACCAUGAACUUUACAGAUCUUAUCAAGUGAAUUACUAUAUGCAGUAAAAAAAAUAUAAAAAAAAGUAGUUUUAAAAGAAAUGAUGGAACAUAGUUUGAAGCACCUUGUCCAGUGUAGGGAAAUGUUCUGUGUGUGUGUAGAAGACGGGUGUAUUCAUUCCGCUGAUUCUGUUGCAAAACGUUUCGACCUACCUGAAUUUGUCCAAUAGAAACUGUUUGUUUUUCCCCGUCCAUUUCAAUUCAGGCAGUAAAAUGAAAUGUCAAUCCCAAACCUGGCAGAAUUACAGCCAUGUCUUUGUGUGUAGCGAUUUAAAAAGGAAAGAUUCACUCAUUUUUGAUUGUUCUUGUGCAUCUCUGAACGAUGUUCGUAUCGGAGUUAGGAGAAAUACAGCUGGUAUGACAAGUUGAGUCACAACAUCGCAAGUCAAAAUGGGUGAAUCUUUCCUUUGUUUUAUAUGGGACAAACAUACAAGGACUGUGAAUUAUUACUACCUGCAUUAGUCCCUGAGUGUAACUAUUGUUCUUAUGCAGUGGUUUCAGAAUUGCCUUGAGUCUUUUGAAAUAAACAUGGACUUUGUUCACUCAGUGUGAGAUUAGAA
Molecule: long non-coding RNA, 1867 nt
Organism: Oncorhynchus tshawytscha (Chinook salmon)
Lineage: Eukaryota; Metazoa; Chordata; Actinopteri; Salmoniformes; Salmonidae
Source: Ensembl